This 314-nucleotide long non-coding RNA is filed under the name Elaeis guineensis (African oil palm). RNAcentral's name for it is "long non-coding RNA (EGUI_LNC022373)". Lineage: Eukaryota; Viridiplantae; Streptophyta; Magnoliopsida; Arecales; Arecaceae. The record is from RNAcentral.
CCAUCAUAUUCAAUUUUAUUGGCAAUAUGGAUGUUACUGCAUUAAUUAUUUUUCUUUGAUCCAAACAAACAUAGGGAUCACAAUCCUUCCAAAAAAGAAUAUAGGGACCACAAAUACCCGGACAAGUUGCUGACACAUAGAGACCAAUGACUUGCCUUCUCUACCUAUGGUUAGGAUUGAAAAAGAUAUUUCUUCUUGUUAAUGACUAAUUAUCUACUUAGUUUAUAGCAAGGUUUGGUCUAGAAUUGGAUGGCAACAACAGUUAAGGCCGGCUUAACUAACUUUACAUGCUAAUAAGAGUAGGCCUCCCUUUA